AGGAACGAUCGAGGUCCUGCGAGUCCUGCGAUCUGAUCCUGGCGAUCCCAUCGCGCUAUUGAAACCGCGUGCGAUCGUGCGACCAAGAGAAUCGCGCUCCAUUCCCUUCGGCCGCUUAUUUUUUUCUUUACAGAUUAUAUUAAACGUCCUAGUCUCUGUAAUUAGGAUAUCCCAGUUUCUCUCCGUUACACUUUCACACAUUUUUGUGUCCCUAUCGAGCCACGAUAUAUCGAUCUUCGCUUAAUAAAUGGUCGAGGUAAUAGCCGUUUAUUUAUAUAAAUAAACGCGAGUGCAGGAAUAGCCGGCGCAGUCUUGCUCGGUGCUCAAUCUAAUUGCUCAAGAACUGUACUUGCAUUUACAGCUGAAUAAUAGAAUAACAUGUAGUAGUGCAAAUAGAUUGUCGCUAAAGAAAGUCGAUGUUGAUAAUUCUGAUAUUUGUAAUCGCAUUGUUUUUUUUUGUCUAACGUAGUUGCAAGUUUUAUUUUUCGUCUGAUAACGUUUUCUUUUUCCAUAAAUGUAACACGAGAGAAAAGAGAAAGAGAAAGAGAAAGAAGGAGAAUCGGAGGACAACUGUAUUUAGAAGUUGGAUGCAAUUGGAAGAUGCGAGUCCAGUAUCGAUGUACGCAUGUGUGAUCGAUAUCGAUCUAUCGCUCUUUAAGAAAUAAGCAACGCUAGAUCUCUCUCCGCCUCAAUCUCAGUAUUCUGAGCAUUUUCAUCCGCGUUACCUCAACUCUGAACAGCGCUAUAAAAACAAUAUCGAGCUUUCGCAUAAUAAAAUGGACAUAUUGAGUGUUAUUGAUCAUAUGUUCAAAUGAUAUAAAUGGCGAAAACUGUUAUUCAAUUAUACAUCUGGAAAUGGACAUUUUGGCGAUAAUAAACCGACAGGACAUUACUAAUUCUGCCGUAAAGAUAUAUUUAAACUCGGGAGGAUCUUUUUGUCUAAUACAAUUUCAAUUUCUACUUUUCGCCUAAUAACGGUUUUUUUCCAUGAAUGUAACAAGAGUGCAAAGAGAGAGAGACUCAGACAACCACAUUUAGAAGUUGAACACGAUUGGAAAAUGCGAGUUCGUGUCGAUACGCGCGAUAAAAACAGUAUCGAGCAUUCGCCUAAUAAAAUGGACACAUCGAGUGUUAUUGAUCAUAUGUUCAAAUGAUAUAAAUGGCGAAAACUGUUAUUUAAUUAUACAUCUGGAAAUGGACAUUUCGGCGAUAAUAAACCGACAGGACAUUACUAAUUCUGCCGUAAGGAUAUAUUUAAACUCCAGGGGUUAUCGAGCCUCCCCCUCCCCCCCUCGCACUAUAUCGAGAAUUUUUGGCGGAAGAUAACACGCAACAAUAUCUAAUGUCUCUGUUACGUGUUGUACGUUCAAGUGUUAUUAGUUAUCUCAAAAUUGACGGAAAUUGAGCUUGCAACAUAUUGUCGAAAUAAAUGCGUCAUGAGGGAAAUGCGGCAUCGGUUUACGUCUGUGCACGUUACUUAAAUUAAAUUUGCGCGUCCCGCAAUUUACCUCGUGCAGCUUUUAGAAUGCAUUUCGCGCAACUUGGUGUUUUCGUAUAACUUGCGACGCGGGGUCGUCGUUUUGGCCGCGUCGUUUGCUAUUCAAGAGCCCGAAAAUUAACCCGUAGCCGAGCACAAAAAGACGUACGCGUGCGAGACGGGACGAGAGAAAGAGAGCGGCCACGUACAUACACGCGCGACAUUGUCACGUGCGUGUGCGGCGAGAAAAUUAUUUUUUCAUCCCGAGUAAAAAUAGGCACAUAGAUACCUGUGUGGGUACGAGAUAUUCAAAAUCCGAAACGAGCUCUCUCUGAUAUUCGCGAAAGCAGGCGCAAAAGUGGUACGCGAGAUGAAAUGCGAUAAUAUUUUUUAAUAAUAAAAAUAUCUCCGAAUAUAUACCGUAUAUCGAUGUUUCGUGAGAUUUCACGAUACCUCAGUGUGGCGUACAUUUAUUAUUAUUAAAUAUCUCGAAUACCUAAAUGUGAAUUCAAUAAAACUCCGCGAAAUUUCCGUUAAAGUUUUCGAUCGAGACUUCGCGGAAGAAUAAAUUUGUUGUUUCGCAGUUAAGAGAUGGAUAUAUAAUUUCUUACCAAAAAUUUUUGCCUCAAGAGUGCAUAGCUUUGGUCAGUCGCGAGCCGACAGUGAUUUCGCGCGGGAUCAUCGCAACGUGACUCCUGUGCCUCUCGUUCCACGGCAGAUUCGAGCAGAACGCAAGACCAACAGCGCGCUCACGGAUUUUCUCACGGAUCUUUGCGGUGUCAUUUACACGCGAAUCCGCCUCCGCGAGUUCGCGUCCUUAGAACACGUAAGGAGCGAAAGAGGAGUCUCCCCCGACCGCAAAAGUCGAGUCGGGAAAACGCGAUCUUCGCGCCGGAGCAGGGAAGAGGGGGGUGUAAAUCAAGACGGAAAAUGAACCGGCGAUGCGAUACUCGUUAUUAUCCUCCUAAAGCACCCCGGAAGCUGCACGUAACGAUCUUACGUCGCCGACGUUCGCGGUUGCGCCAUUUCGUGCAGGGGAAAAAAAAAGACGGAAAGGAGAUGGCUUAACGGUGGAUACAUAAUCUCAAAUAUCAUUCCGCUCGGGAACGCGCGAGGAUGUGAGCAGUGUCAUGCCUGAUGAAGAACAAUCCCAACGAAGACUCGUUGGGAAUUUGAGUCCAUGAUUUUCCUGAUAAUAAUUUAACGGCGAUUUAUUUAGCUUGCAUGGAUACCGAUUCACUCCAGUCGCCAGUUGAGAUAUUAAUGGAUUUCUCAAAUGUUAUAAGGAAGAAGCAAACUUGUAACGCGACUCUAUUUUUACUAAUUAGAAAUAUUAAUUGUUCAAUCGAAGUUGGAUCAAUAGGGACCCACUUCUCGUUCGCUUGUCACGAGCUUGCUGCUACAACGUCUAUCUGGCACUGAAAAAUUUAUCUACUUCGGUUUCCGAUCAGUCGACAUGUGCAGCAAUUCGUCCAAAAUAUUUCGCAUACAGGAUACUUCAGAAUAUCAAAACGUGAAUACAUGAUGUUGUUUCCUGUUCUUAAAGGAGUCUCAAAAUGACUAAUGAAAUUCUAAUUGUCGAAAAAAGUGACGAUCCUUUCUCUUUUUCUACAUUCGACAACAUAAAAUCUUAAAAGUUAAAACUCCAGAAUAGUUCAAGAGGAAUAAUCCAAUAAAUAAAACACAAAAUAUUUUCAGAGAAUUUUAAAGCACAAAGUGGAAAAACAUCUAUAAUUUUAACAGAAUCAUCGCGCAGUCUCGGUGACGAUGACAAGCGGUAAAAACAGAGUUCUUCCCCCUUUCCUUUCUCAUUCGAGAGCUCGAGAGUUAAUUGCAUUAGUUCCGAUGACUUUUCCUCGACCAUUCGGUCUAUUCCUGAGGGGGAGGAAGGGGACCCGACGCGAGGAGAACGCGUGAGUCGCGUGCAGAUGGCAAGCCGGUGUGCUUGGUAAUUGUGCAACGCAAUAAUAAGAAUAACAGUAAUUACGACCCUUCGCUGUGCAUAAGAACCGACGAGAGUGAAACGUUAAUUUUCGAAGGGAACACCGUAAUCUCAAUCAGUCGCGACGACAAUCGGAAAAAUCCCGCGGCGGUGGGAACGCGAUUGUGCGGGGCCAAGCAAUUGUAAUUCAUUCGAAUGUAAUUACGAAGAAAUUCGAACGUAAUGUUACACGAGAACAAACGCAGUUAAAGAAAAAAUUAUUUAUGGCGGGAUUAAAUUGAAGGUGUUCUCGUGCUCGUAGCGUGGAUUCUUUCUCAAGAAAUAUGAUCAUCGUCGAUCAUUACUGAUCGCUCGUCAUCACGAUGUUAAACGUUGCUCACUAAUCAUUGAUUCAAAGCACGUGAUUUCCCGACAUUGACGAAUUCCUGCCGUCAAUGCUGCGAUAAUCGCGUGUCGAUUGCAGGCGGAUACAAUUUCUCGAGAGACGGCAGGUGCUUAAAUUAACAUUUAACAUUUAAGGAGAAGAUGUAGGGAGGACAUUCCGCGAUGUAGCGCGAGCGGAACGGAAUAUCCGCUCGGGGUUCGCCCCCGAGAUACGAAAAGAGCUCGCCAUCUCUCGCGAAAGCGAAUCACAAAGAGAAAUAUUGUUGAAUCUUAUAUCUCGGACGGCGCAUUAAUGAAACACUCGCGCUCGCGCCAUUCUGAAAUUACUCGGGAUCGUCUAGACUACUCUCGGCCGGGCCCCAGGAUUCUCUUCGUCGAGCGAGCGGAGCGGAGCUGCAGAACGGAUCCCCGCGAUCUUUAAUGAGAAUAAUAGAACACGACUAAUAUUAGAACUGGCCGGCCGGCUCUAAGCUCAAUGUAGGAACUCGAUCAAUUAUUCAGUUUCAUAUAAUUCUGAAUCGAUCCCUUGCAAUCCUUAAAGGAGGAAGUGGAUUGGCUGCUUCGGAGGACCGGAUGUAGCAAGUUCCGGUGCACGGCGAUACGUACGCAUAACGAAUGUAAGAGAUGGAUUUCCUUGAAAUAAAUUUCGAGUACAGUUUCUAUAAAAUUUCAGCAGCGCGCACAACACGUUUAUACAUGUAUGAUUCAACAUUUUUAUCAAAUUUUAUGUUCUUUCCUUAAUCUUUAUUUACGUCUGCAAGUCGUGACGGAUUUACAAUUUAUGAUGUAAACGAACGCGCAUCAGGUGAACUGGUGGAUAUUUUUACGUUGUGACGGUUUAAAAGUGAGUUCUCUAACAAGCAAGGAAUUCCAGAUAUCGUUCUGCAGCACGUUUAAGGUCCGUGAAUACUAUCGAGGAUCGGAGCUCGACAGAUUGCGGAGGAUUAGGCCCGCAAGAACACCAUGAAAUCACACGAUACUUGUUGCACGUGACAUGCACAUGUUGUGCGCAUGUGUUUAAAACGUGUAAAAAAAUUAGUUGCCGAUCCACUCCGACGUUCCUCCCGCGCUCGAGUCCUCUUAAUCGUCUCUCUCGUUUCUUUCAUCCCUCUAAAAAAAUAUAUAUAUAUACAUACAGCCCCCCCUUCUCUCUCCUCCCGGAUGCGCAAUGAGGAGGGCAACGUCCUCGUUCGCCGGGAUCGACGGCGAAUUUAGCAAUCCACCCUUCCCCUUGCCGUGCUGUCCCUCUCGCCCCCGCGAGAGAACAGAUGCAUCCGUCUCACCAGGAUUAAUAAUGAAGCCGCGCAGUUUUGCGAUUCUAGACAGCAAAUAAUGAGUGUAAUAAUUCGAAGAGCGCGCUCGGCGAAGUCGCGGUCACGUGGAUACCCCGUGGCGUGCUCUAUAGUCCUCGCGCGAUCGGCGUCCAGAAAUACAACCCUCGCGGCACGGCACGGCGCGGCGGGGUGGUAUUCGUCAACUUGCACGUCGCCUUAACCCUGUCCAUGAAAAAUGCAAUCGCUCGUUCGCUCGGCGUCGUAACGCUGGCGUUUUUCAUCGGACGAUGACCGCGGAUCGAAGCUUUCGUCCGCUUCAAUGCUCCCUACUAUUCCGGCAUACAUUUUAAUUUCGAUUCCAUAUUAAGGCGAUGUGGUCUCUCGUAGGAAUACGCAAGUUAUUGCUCGAAACCGAUCAAAUAAAUGCCACCGCGUGGAUUCCAAUAUCCAGCUGCGUGAAUAGUUAAUUUUACAUCGUUCUUGCUUCUUCAAUUUCCGCGCAGGUAGCGUUCUCAAAAUUUCAUUCCGCUUUUUGCGAUAGUACGGUACGCGAAAAUUUUCAUCGGUCGAUUCAUUAACCCGCACGGCAAGGAAAUGGUCGCGCUGCGUCGCCCGGGAGCUUCUUUAUAUCGAUCGGCCCGGCGAGGAUCCGGUUAGGUGGGACGAUUCGGGCAUACCCGGCUGCGGCGAAUUAGUUUUCGUCGAAUUAAUCGAGCGCAUUAAUCCAAUCAAGUCGCACCCGGAUUCCAUUCGGAUUCAAUCGCGCCGGCGGCGGCCGCGUUAAAUUAAAUCGCGCGGCCGAUAUCGCGAUCCGGCUAUGUACGUCACGCUUUUAAUCGGCCCGAAUUAGAAUCGUUAAUUGCCCGCGAGUCCUCCAAUCGGGCACGAUGCACGUGUCGGUCGCGAUUGAGAGGUCGAAGGUCCCGAACUUGCGCGCACCAAUGUCACCGUCGAAUCUUGUGGAUCUUACCGCGUGGCGGAUACGCGUAUCGGUCGAUCCGUUCUUGCUUUCUUCCGUAUCUGCAUCGGUGCCCGCUUCCGGCUGUGCAUCUCUGCAUGGAGGAAUAAUUUAUAAGCUAAAUCUGCCGUUGAUUCUCUCUCUCUCUCUGUCUCUCUUUCUCUGGAAUAUACGUAAGACACGAAUGGAAAUAUAUUGCAUAUGUUUUAUUUCUAAUAUAUUUAAUAUUAACGUAUUUAGUUAUUUUGUGAUGAUAAUUCUACGUUAAAUAUUUAAUCCGAAUUUCUAACUUAUUUUGAUGUUUCUAGUGUAUUAUAAAUUGCGUAAAUAAUAUAAAUCUUUGAAACACAUUUAAGCAGCAACAAAGUUUCAAGAUAUUCUUAAUAAAUUCUUGACAUAAUUGUGUCAUAUAAAAAAACGAAAAAUUCCCUGUCGCCGUUAUGAUAGAAUAACGCGCGGGGCAACGCGCGAACGCGUCUCGAAAUAGCUGGCACACGUUAUUGUUGAGUUUAGCGAAACCGGAGUUUAAAUAUCUACCGGAUGUUUGGCGUGUAUAUCACUUCGUAAAUUUAAGGUUUAUGGUCGUGCUCCUUUCCCGCUCUCGCCGGCACGCGGCUGGCGUCUCUCGUCGAGUGAUCUCUUUGCUUUCGCCUUUCGUUUCCGCACGACUUCCGCUUCUUCCAGAGAAAUAAAAACUCAAUUUAAAUGGGAAAUCAAGAAAAAUCGAGAUAUUACGUACGGAGCUUCUAGAAAAUUUUGAAAAAAGUAAAAGAAAUUCUGGAAAGAUGGAAAUCACAGAAAUAGAAACUAAAAAUCGUACGAAUUGUGUAUAUGAAAGCUUCUGAAAAAAUAAAUACGAUACAUGUUGCUUUAGGAACCACCUGGAAACGAUGUAGCAAAUCAUUGAAACUCGAAAAGUUCCAAGUAAUCGAGAAAGCGCGGUGAGGGGGGAAAUCGGCGGAACGAUCUGCGACGAAAAACAACGACAGAGCGGGGGUGGACUAUAUCCAGGGAGGCAAGCCCGACGAGAGGGAUCUACCUCAAACAAACUGCUAAACAAGCGAGGAUCCCCAGCAGACGCAAUUGUUGAACAAACCGGGGGGAACGCGAGUUCGCGAUAUUUAUCGGCGUACACGCGCGCGUUACACGCGUGCACGAUCGAGACGUGGUCCCCGCGGCGAAAUUUAUUAGAACCGUCGCGCCGUAGGCGAGAAGUGUCGUUUAAUCCUGAUGCACACUCUCUCUCUCUCUCUCUCCGCACUCCUCUUUCCACUCUUCCCCGUCCGCCUCGUGAAGCACCGGCCGCUUAAGCGCCGUUAACGAUGCGAUCGCGAUCGCGCGCGGAUUUCGGGGACACCCGUUGUGCAGGAUUUCCAGUCGCGCACCGGUCGGUCGCCGGCCGCCGACGGCAAAUCUUGCACUAUACAAACCCCGGUAUAUCUACGCGCGCGGAAGGUACACGACUCUAAUACAUAGUUCAGCACUCUAUCUACAUACGUGCGCGAGCUAACAUCGCGCUAGCCUUCCUUGUUUAUCCCUCGCUCUCCCUCCCUCCCGCGCCCUCUCUGCGUCUCUCCCUCUUGCCCUCUUGCACCCCCGCGUUUCCAUCCCCUAUUUCUAACCCUGCCUGCCGAACACGCCCCGAAACUGCAUCGUGCAUGAGCCACCACGUCGUGCAUGCACGCACGCACGCAUGUACGCAAGAUACGCACAUGUGUGUAUCUCUGCGCUGCGCUCGGCCGCGCUGCGGCUUACUGCAGCCUGGAACAUUAUUCAAGGGAUAAUCCAUUCCUUAUAUAUUAAACUACGGAAGGACGAUCUAUUGGCGCGAUAGAUCACGGCUCUCUCGAAAUUCGUCGGGGAUCCUGCGCGCCAUUUCUCUGUUUCUCGCUUUCUCUCUAUCUCUCUUUCUGUCUCUCUCCCCUGUCCUCUUUCCCCGGCGAAGAAAAUUGUCAGACGAUCCGAUUGCAGCAUGUAGACGAGAUAAAAAGGUUUAUACCUGUCUCCCCUCAGUGAGAAAUCAGUUUGAUACAGUCGAAUAUUGUAACGUUGCACGUGCGUCUCUUCAGAAUGGGUAGCUUCAGUGGCAACGUGCCGUUCAAGGAAUUGUCUCUGAUUAUUUUCUCUCUUCAUUAUAAUCUUCAAUAAUAUUUUCAUUAUUUCAGCUGCGAUGUAAAAAUACAGAUGAAAGUCCCACCUCCAUUCUUGAAAAAUCCAAUUCAUCACUUGAUUUAAGAAUGAUUACCUUGAUUAUUUUAAUUAUUUCAAUUAAGGUGUGAGAUCGAGAUGUUGCGACGGCGCUUUUUAAUUCAUUCAUUCGGUGGUGGUGCCCGGUUUGUGUUGAUUUUACGUGUGAAAAUAAUAUGAACGCGCGAUCUAAUAAGGUUCCGAUCUAGGCCAGAAAUUAAUCUUAUAUGCAAUUUAACGCGGACCACUUACUCUGAAAGUGGCAUGAGUCAGUUCGUGGAGAAAGGUAUUAAAUUUAAUUUAAAUAAGAUGUGGUUAUAUAGAGAUUUCACGAGAGAUAUGCGUCUAUUUUCAUAAGAUAUCCAAUAUCUGACUUACGUCGCUUUAGAAUGAAGGACGAUUGUCUAAUAAUACAUGGCGACUCCCUCACGGAGUUAAAAUCUGAGAUAAUUAUUUGAAUUAAUUUCUCUUUUAUGAAGCAUCCUUCCAGACGGCUGUUAUCGAUUAGAAUAAUAGUCAUUCGAUACCCGUCGAGUUGAAUCGCGUCUCAAAACAUUAACGUUCUGCUGUAAUUACGGUACGGACGGUACGAAAUGAGACAGAACGUAAUUUGAAAUUAUUAUUUCAAAAAAGAGGAAAUACCAGAAAAAUCAUUUAGCGAUUUAUAGAUUCUUAUAAACAUUCAAAGGACGAUUUAUGUCGUCUUAGACAUCGUUCGCUGCGGCAAACGAUUGUCCUGGUAACAAAACUAUAUAGAAUUCGAAAAUGUGCAGUUAUCGCAAUUAUCCGAGAAACGGCAUAAUCCGACUUCGAGUAUUCUUACAUCCGCCCUCAAUAAUUAAUCAGACCCGUAAUUAAUUUAUCUGGAAUUCGAUCCGUUAAUCCUAUUAGCGCAAACUCAUUUAUAGAUCCCACGAAUUCAGUAAGAAUUUAUAAAGCUAAUUGUAAAAGAAUGAUCGCUUAAAUUCAACGAGGCUGAGGCGCGAGUCCAACGCUUGUCGCGACGGCCGUGAGGUCUUUGUACCCUAAAGGUACAAGGACGGUGUCCGUGAAGUCGUCGUCGAUUUGGAUUACGGGGUAAUUUCGGCCGGAUCGAGAGGCUACUCAACUCUAUUGAAAUAAUACACAGCGCGAAGUAUUUAUACCGGAGAGCCUUGUUCUCUCGACGGGAGUGCUGAAGGAGGAGCUGGGGGAGGAGGAGGUCGCCAGGGUGACGGAGGACGAAGCGGUGGAAGGGACGGAAGAAAGGGAGAAGAGAGGUUCUUGCAGCUCAAAUACAAAUAUACGAACCCACCGACGCUUACCUUGAAACUCCCUCGUCGUCCCUGAAUCGUGAACGUGGAAUUGUCCGCGCGCUGCGAUUCCGGAGUGCCGCGGAGUACGAUUAGUUAAGAAUAGAUGGGUCGAUAGUCGAACAGACAGAGACGGAUUCAUCGUGGAUAUCGCGGGAACCGAAGGAGACGAGAUAAGAGAAAUUUGGCGAUCUCAGUAAAUUGAGCGAAAUUUCAAGUGGACGAGAUAAGAGCAGCGAAUCCGAAUUUCGAUUUCGUUGCGACUAAAAGACAAACGGUUAAAAAUUCACUGGACAAAAAAUCUCGCAAAAUGUUUCUUAUGCGGAUUACCGUUGCGGCGCAUCUCGUUUCAACAGUAACGAUAAUAAAAAUCUGGAAAAUAUUAACAAUUCUGGAGUGAAACAGUCAAGUAGAAAGAACGAGGGAGGCCAAGAGAUACUUAGCAAGGUAUGAUUUUCUCAUCGGUCGAUGUGGAGAAUUACAAGGACGCAGAGCAGAAAAGGCAGAAUAAACGCGAGAAGAAAGAUUUACAUCGGAGAAGAAAGGGAACAAAGGAGAAUAUUUUAUUAACGGCAUAAAAAUGACCAUGGCCGAGAAAGAGAACGUGUUCCUUUUCCAGAAGAAACCUGAUGUAUAAAGUAUAGAUUACAUGAACGUAAUACUACUCCAUUAUUGUAAAAUAGGUAGUUUUACUCGUGCAGAACAUUGUUUCUUCAAUUUUACGCGAUCGCUACGCCCCCCAAGCGAAACUUCAUCCUAGAUUUUACUUUUUUCUUCUCCACGAAAUUAUGAUUAUAAUUAAAAUAAUAAUUAACGUCAGACGUUAAUUUAAGUCGUGUUUACCAGCAAAGAGAAAUUAAUUCUGUAUUGUUACAUUACACUGCGAAAAUUUAAUAAAAAACCGUGCAUGCAAUAUACUAAAAAAGUAAUAACUAAAAACAUUAUAACUAAAAAAGAUGAUAGAAUGCACAAACGAAAGCAGGAUAAAAUAAAAUUGUUGGUAAUUCAUCAAGGGACUAAAUCUUUGAGACGUCGAAUCCAAGAGAAGUGUCGACAAGUGUCUCAGAUCCUUUCUUUUUUAUCUAUCCUGGUUUAUCCUGUUGUGUGUUCAGAUUUCAGUUGACGAAAAAUUCAGUCACGUUAUUACAUCCCUGAAACGCUCGGUGGCGUUUACAACGUCACCCCCUUCGCUCCGGUCGUCCUCUCUCCAUCCCGUCGUCGGAACUACCCUCUCGGUGAGGAAGGGAGGUUCGUUUCGCUCUUUGUUUUGCUCGAAACGGCGCUACAGGUUGCCAAGAGAAGGGUCCUCGCGUGCCGCAUUUUACAGUCCGAAAUGACUCGCUCGACCAGCACGAAUCGGGAAAUGCGAGCGAUCCUCUCGAUGCACUUUCACUCGUUCGUUCGAUAUUAUAAUAAAAAUACAGAAUACCCCAGAAUAAACGGGCCAAAUUGCGUUGCCAGAUUUCUCAGUCGAAUCUGUCUCCUCUUCAUUUUCCUGAUCUUUUUCCUGUUUCGUUUUUUUUUUUAUCAAAAUUCUCAGACGAAAAUUUUGCGAGCGAAUAGGAGGUCGCGGAAUGGCAGCAUUUCUAAAUCCGCCCCUGGCAAUAACGGCGACGCGACGGGGUUGUUUUGCUCGUCAGUUCUCACACGUAUCGCGAAUUGUGCACCCGCGGUGGUGGCGGCGGCGGCAGCGACGCCAUUAUUAUCAGUCGCGCGAGAUAGCGCGAGACGGAAGGAAACGCUAAUCGGCGCGCAUCGCUCGUAAACUAUUUAGGCUCUCACGCCCUGUCACAGUAAUGACAACCCUUUCGCGCGUCCCCGAUUGAUAUCAGGAAAUCGCGGCGCGAUUGAGGCGGUUGUUUUCCACUGCAUAAUAACAGGGUGCAAUGUGUUAUAAACAACGCAAAUAAUAUCGUCGACAUCACAUUUACAUUCGGAGGGAAAGGCAAGACAAAAGACUCAUCCUACAUCAUGAAAGACAAACUAAUUCUCUCAGGUUAAUUUAAUAUAAUAAACUAUUUAACAUAAUAAGCAUAAUUAGUAAGUUAUAAUCAGAAUGCGUCACGUAAUUAUAAAAUGUAGUAUAAAAUUAUAUUUUUGGCAAA
Molecule: long non-coding RNA, 11619 nt
Filed under: Ooceraea biroi (clonal raider ant)
Lineage: Eukaryota; Metazoa; Arthropoda; Insecta; Hymenoptera; Formicidae
Description: uncharacterized LOC105275818
Source: RNAcentral